AUAUCAAUAAGCGGAGGAAAAGAAACCAACAGGGAUUGCCUUAGUAGCGGCGAGUGAAGCGGCAAAAGCUCAAAUUUGAAAUCUGGCACCUUCGGUGUCCGAGUUGUAAUUUGAAGAUUGUAACCUUGGGGUUGGCUCUUGUCUAUGUUUCUUGGAACAGGACGUCACAGAGGGUGAGAAUCCCGUGCGAUGAGAUGCCCAAUCCUAUGUAAGGUGCUUUCGAAGAGUCGAGUUGUUUGGGAAUGCAGCUCUAAGUGGGUGGUAAAUUCCAUCUAAAGCUAAAUAUUGGCGAGAGACCGAUAGCGAACAAGUACAGUGAUGGAAAGAUGAAAAGAACUUUGAAAAGAGAGUGAAAAAGUACGUGAAAUUGUUGAAAGGGAAGGGUUUGAGAUCAGACUCGAUAUUUUGUGAGCCUUGCCUUCGUGGCGGGGUGACCCGCAGCUUAUCGGGCCAGCAUCGGUUUGGGCGGUAGGAUAAUGGCGUAGGAAUGUGACUUUGCUUCGGUGAAGUGUUAUAGCCUGCGUUGAUGCUGCCUGCCUAGACCGAGGACUGCGAUUUUAUCAAGGAUGCUGGCAUAAUG
Molecule: ribosomal RNA, 580 nt
Filed under: Meyerozyma caribbica
Lineage: Eukaryota; Fungi; Ascomycota; Pichiomycetes; Serinales; Debaryomycetaceae
Description: eukaryotic LSU rRNA
Rfam family: Eukaryotic large subunit ribosomal RNA
Source: RNAcentral